This is a long non-coding RNA of Centruroides sculpturatus (bark scorpion), 238 nucleotides long. RefSeq lists it as uncharacterized. Lineage: Eukaryota; Metazoa; Arthropoda; Arachnida; Scorpiones; Buthidae. The transcript has 2 exons. The record is from RefSeq and is a predicted model, not a curated record.
UUAUUUAUUCUUUUCAUGAUUUUCAGUGUUCCUUGGGAGAACUAUCUACAAAUGGUACUGGAUCCAAUAAAAAGACUGCAAAACGAAAUGCUGCUGAAUCCAUGUUACAGUUAAUGGGUUACUCUCGACCUCAACCUGGCAAACCAGCAAUUAAGUCAUCAGGUCUAGAUGGUUGUCAUGUUCUGCAAGGCCAAGAAUCUGAGAAAGGACGUAAGGUGACUUUUCUGGAUCAUGAAGG